AGUGAUUGGUUUAUUUGAUUGGCGGGCUUUAUGUUUGUGCAUAAAACUGUUGAUCGAUAAGCCUCUUCAAUGUUUGCGCCAAGAGCUAUUAUGAGCCUUGGGCGAGUAUUGGUUUUCUGUGUUGCAUUCCAAUUGAAGGUAUACUUUCCGAGAAAUUAAUGAUUUUCGCCUGGCACUGUUAUGGGUGUCUGGUGGACCAAUGUAGCUAGGUUCGUUCCCCAAACACAAUGACGUAGCGUCUUUGUUAUGGAGUACGGUCUCUAGUUGUGCCCUGGGAUGCAGAAAGUUUACUGGGGAUAGUUUUGAUACGUUGUGUCCCUGAUUAAGCAUUUUAUGCUAAGCAUGAAAGACAGUCCGUUACGAGAUGAACUUCCCUGCAAAGGGUGGGCUCAUGCGUAUCGGUGUCGAUCGAGGAGUGCUACCUGGUUGAUCCUGCCAGUAGUCAUAUGCUUGUCUCAAAGAUUAAGCCAUGCAUGUGUAAGUAU
Molecule: unclassified non-coding RNA, 485 nt
Filed under: Dysphania congolana
Lineage: Eukaryota; Viridiplantae; Streptophyta; Magnoliopsida; Caryophyllales; Amaranthaceae
Description: partial contains external transcribed spacer and small subunit ribosomal RNA
Rfam family: Eukaryotic small subunit ribosomal RNA (bases 420-485)
Source: RNAcentral